RNAcentral lists this ribosomal RNA (427 nucleotides) under uncultured bacterium. Its description in RNAcentral is "bacterial SSU rRNA". It matches the Rfam family "Bacterial small subunit ribosomal RNA", at positions 355 to 796 of the family's 1533-position model. The record is from RNAcentral.
UGAGGGAUAUUGCACAAUGGGCGCAAGCCUGAUGCAGCGACGCCGCGUGGAUGAUGAAGGCCUUCGGGUCGUAAAAUCCUUUUGCGCGUGACGAGAACAAGGACGGUAGCGCGCGAAUAAGUCUCGGCUAACUACGUGCCAGCAGCCGCGGUAAAACGUAGGAGACAAACGUUAUCCGGAGUUACUGGGCGUAAAGGGCGUGCAGGCGGCUUGAUAAGUUCGGCGUGAAAUUUCCCGGCUUAACCGGGGGAUGUCGUCGGAGACUGUCGAGCUAGAGGGUGAUAGAGGCGUGUGGAAUUCCGGGUGUAGUGGUGAAAUGCGUAGAGAUCCGGAGGAACACCAGUGGCGAAGGCGACACGCUGGGUCAUACCUGACACUAAAACGCGACAGCAUGGGGAGCGAACGGGAUUAGAUACCCCCGUAGUCC